AUUACAAUACAUGGAAGAGUAAGUAAGCCAAGUGGCCUGAUACUUAUCAUGAGGUUGGAAGGCUAUCAUUUGCAGUCAUGAAAAUGUGUCUGCAUUACAGCUUAAGGACCAUCCCCUUUCCUUUUUUCAGCUUUUCUAGUAGACUGGUGGACACAGAUGACAAGGAGGCGCGUCUUGUCCUCAUGUGGUCUACAGUCUGGUAGGAAGACAUAACUGACGUCUUAUACAAAAGGUCUGAAAGCAGGAAGAAGUAACCAAAUGCUUUAAUGGAGACAAGGAAGUGAGUCAUUCUCAGCUGAGUGGAACCCU
Molecule: long non-coding RNA, 309 nt
Filed under: Homo sapiens (human)
Lineage: Eukaryota; Metazoa; Chordata; Mammalia; Primates; Hominidae
Description: HSALNT0100521
Source: RNAcentral